Molecule: ribosomal RNA, 490 nt
Filed under: uncultured bacterium
Lineage: Bacteria
Description: partial 16S ribosomal RNA
Rfam family: Bacterial small subunit ribosomal RNA
Source: RNAcentral
AUUGAACGCUGGCGGCAGGCCUAACACAUGCAAGUCGAACGGUAACAGGAAGCAGCUUGCUGCUUUGCUGACGAGUGGCGGACGGGUGAGUCAUGUCUGGGAAACUGCCUGAUGGAGGGGGAUAACUACUGGAAACGGUAGCUAAUACCGCAUAACGUCGCAAGACCAAAGAGGGGGACCUUCGGGCCUCUUGCCAUCGGAUGUGCCCAGAUGGGAUUCGCUAGUAGGUGGGGUAACGGCUCACCUAGGCGACGAUCCGUAGCUGGUCUGAGAGGAUGACCGGCCACACUGGAACUGAGACACGGUCCAGACUCCUACGGGAGGCAGCAGUGGGGAAUAUUGCGCAAUGGGCGCAAGCCUGAUGCAGCCAUGCCGCGUGUAUGAAGAAGGCCUUCGGGUUGUAAAGUACUUUCAGCGGGGAGGAAGGGAGUAAAGUUAAUACCUUUGCUCAUUGACGUUACCCGCAGAAGAAGCACCGGCUAACUCCGUG